This 89-nucleotide non-coding RNA is filed under the name Stenotrophomonas sp. CC22-02. Lineage: Bacteria; Pseudomonadati; Pseudomonadota; Gammaproteobacteria; Lysobacterales; Lysobacteraceae. The record is from RNAcentral.
GUAGGUGUCGACCUUGGUCGACACAUCUGUCAGAUAUCGAAAAUCAAAUUUGAAUCAGAUCUGCCGUGUCGACCAAGGUCGACACCCAC